This is a non-coding RNA of Thiocapsa sp. KS1, 48 nucleotides long. Lineage: Bacteria; Pseudomonadati; Pseudomonadota; Gammaproteobacteria; Chromatiales; Chromatiaceae. The record is from Rfam.
CCACGGGGACGACCCCGCGGGUCAUGUCAUCGACGCGGGACGACCCGC